Long non-coding RNA from Calidris pygmaea (Spoon-billed sandpiper), 1730 nucleotides. NCBI's taxonomy places the organism in Eukaryota, Metazoa, Chordata, Aves, Charadriiformes, Scolopacidae. The record is from Ensembl.
CCCCCAUCCCUGCUGGGACCCCCAGGACCCCCAUCCCUGCUGGGACCCUCCAGUCCUUCGGGGGACACUGGAGCCCCCCAUCCCUGCCGGGACCCCCAGGACCCCCAUCCCUACCGGGACUCCCAUUCCUCCCGGGACCUCCCAGCCUUUCGGGGACCCUGGAGCCCCCCAUCCCUACCGGAACCGCCAGGACCCCCAUCCCUGCAGGGACCCCCCCAUCCCUGCGGGGACCCCAGGACCCUCCCCCGCCACCCCGAGCCGCCCCCCCCCGCUCCCGGCGGCGGCCCCUGCAAUGCCGGCGGUGCCCAGGGUGGGAGCUGUGCUGGGGCCGGGCCGUGCCGAGCCGGGCGGCGGGGAGCGCCGCGUCCCGCACCCGCCGGGCCACGCCUGGCCACAGCCAGCUGGGCACCGGCACCGGGACCCGCACCGGGACCCGCACCCGCCGACGGGGCAGGGGUGGGCAAGCGGUGAGGGGGGACCGUGUGAGACCACCCCCCCCCCGCCCCGGCCACGGCAGGUGGGGGUGUGGAACUGGGGCAGCUGCGGCCUGUGGGACCCGCCGCCGACAACCGCCCGGAGCCGGGAGAGCGGCCGGAUCCGGCCCCGGCCGUUACCCUUCGCUGGGCACGAGGACGUGAGGCCCCGGUGGGUGCUGGGGGGGGUGGUUUUGGGGGGAGGAGAGAAGGGUCCGAGCCUGGGGGGGGAAGGGGGGGGGGUUGCAGCGGCUUGAAACCCCCCCCAGGGUUUACACGGGGAUUUGCUGGUGGCUCGUACGAGGCUGAGCCCACUCCUGGGGGUCCCUGCGGAGGUGCCCCAGCGCCUUGGGGACCGGUUGCGAUGCUGAAUUUGGGGGGCUUUCCCCCCCCCAAGGCCUUUCCACCGCGCUGCCGGAUCCGGUAGCAAACCAGGGCGUUAUGGCGGGGGCCGGCUCCGGCAGCCUCAUUUCCUAAGGAAAUCAGGCUAGAGAGAAAAGGCAGCCCCCCCCUUCAGUCCUUGCUCUGUCUGUCCGUCCGUCUGUCCGUCCGCAGCCCGAGGGAGAGGCUGAGUUUGGCCUGGGGGGGUGCCGGUGUGGGCACGGCCCCGGUUUACACCACCCCGGACGUGUCACAACCUGCCCGUUCUCAGCAGCCGCGGUCGCCGGGGGGAGGAAGCUGGGGGCUGGGGCCCAAACACCAGGGUGAGGGGCACGGGGGGCUCCGCGGGGGGGGUUGUCUCAGCCUCUCUGUUGGGACCUGGGGCCAGGCUGGCACUGGGGGGGGGGGUUGGAGUGGGCACAGCCGGGCACCCACCCCCCAUUGGUGCCCUGACACCACGGGGAUGGGCUGGGGGUAGAUGGGGGGCUGGAUCCUUCAGCCUGCAACUCCCGUGGGGUCGGAGCAUCCUUAGGCACCCCGGGGGGGGGGGUUAGCACCCCAUUUUGGGGUGCUGCCGGCCCCGGCACCCGGCAGCCGUGGCUGCGGGCCCCGCUCCUCCCCGCCGCGGGCAGGAAGCGCCGCCGGCUGCCGCGGACUUUGGACCCAUCCGGCGUCGCCGGCGCAGGGGCAGAGGAAGGGACUUUUCCUGUUUGCCGGCACGGUGGGGUCCGGCACCCAUCCACCACCGCGGCCCAGCUCCGGGCAAAACUCGGCCCUGCCUCGGCGCAGCCGCCCCCCCACGCUGGCGUGGGGACUCUCCGGCAGCUGAUAUAGGGUUGUGCUCAGGCCGCGGCCCUUCGUGGGCGGGUGAGUUUU